Haliotis rubra (blacklip abalone) is the source of this 183-nucleotide long non-coding RNA. RefSeq lists it as uncharacterized. The record is from RefSeq and is a predicted model, not a curated record. The transcript is spliced from 3 exons. NCBI's taxonomy places the organism in Eukaryota, Metazoa, Mollusca, Gastropoda, Lepetellida, Haliotidae.
GCAUAGAGAGGAACAAAUAUAUACUGAGAGAAACAAAUACGGGAACACAGGAAGAUUCAAGAGGUCCUUUAAUACUUUCCAGUCUUCAUCACCAGCUUUGUAUAGCGCUGUGGGGGAAAAAACUGAGAAUGAAUAAAGGAACACUGCCAUGAAGUGCUGUUCCCUUAUUUGUUUCCCUGAGUA